This 443-nucleotide ribosomal RNA is filed under the name uncultured bacterium. Its description in RNAcentral is "partial 16S ribosomal RNA". It matches the Rfam family "Bacterial small subunit ribosomal RNA", at positions 338 to 795 of the family's 1533-position model. The record is from RNAcentral.
CCUACGGGAGGCAGCAGUGGGGAAUAUUGGACAAUGGGGGGAACCCUGAUCCAGCGACGCCGCGUGAGUGAAGAAGUAUUUCGGUAUGUAAAGCUCUAUCAGCAGGGAAGAAAGAAAUGACGGUACCUGACUAAGAAGCCCCGGCUAACUACGUGCCAGCAGCCGCGGUAAUACGUAGGGGGCAAGCGUUAUCCGGAUUUACUGGGUGUAAAGGGAGCGUAGACGGCGAUGCAAGUCUGAAGUGAAAGGCGGGGGCCCAACCCCUGGACUGCUUUGGAAACUGUAUGGCUGGAGUGCAGGGGAGGUAAGUGGAAUUCCUAGUGUAGCGGUGAAAUGCGUAGAUAUUAGGAGGAACACCAGUGGCGAAGGCGGCUUACUGGACUGUAACUGACGUUGAGGCUCGAAAGCGUGGGGAGCAACCAGGAUUAGAUACCCUUGUAGUC